CAACAAAAAUGCCGAGAAGAAAUUGGAGGUAAUAACUGUUUUAGUUAAUUGCUUUUUUCAGUUGUAAAAUUGGCAUGGAUGAUCUAAAAUAAUCGGGUGUUUACAACAAUGAUAAAGUAGAUUAGCCUCCGUUUGGUUGCUGAGAAAUGGUAGGAAAAUAAGUAAAAUUGUGACUCCAAAUUUUUCAUGUUGGACCUUUAAUCAACUAUAAUAGUAAGCUUAUACAACUUUAGUUCUUUUCUUUUAGAGGGCUGAAUAUUUUGUAAUUUUCUCGAGAACCAAACAGACGGUUCUGCUGCUAGGUAUGUGGAAAUAGAGCGAUUGCUUGUAUCGGUGUUUGAAGUAUUUGUAUUGCCUGCAAAAGUGAAAAAUUUGUGUUACAUUUUAUCUCUUUAAAUCGAGAAAAAUACUUCUAAAUGGUUUUCACUGGAAGCGAAAGGAAGCUGGAGAUAGAGUUGGGGUUUGUGCCCAUGGCUGAGCAGAGUAUCAAGUAACCUAAUCCAAGCCCCUUUCUUGAAUGGCCUGCAGGAUAUUCGGGGAUGGGCUCAGAUUGCUAUGGCUUCAAAGAAUUGGUUUGUCUUGUUGGGAAGUUAGUGAUAAACAUCUGCCCCUCUUUCUCUUGCUUGGACCAUUAAUAAUGACACUGUUUGUUGUUGUUGAUCUUUAUUGUAUGUCUCUAGGUUAUAAUGCCAAUGACUUGGAUUCAGAUGAUUGGAAGAGCUAUGAAAAUUAAAGAGAAAAAUACUUUCCUGUCAAAUUCCACCAUGAAAAAGUGAGUUCAAUUUGCUACCACUUCUUUCCUAUUUGCAGAAGUGGCAAAUCAAUUUGUUUCAUUUGAUUGGAGACUUGUGAGCCUUAUGCAUUUUAUAAACUAGUUAUGUUGGGUUACGCACUAAUGCAAAAGCCUCUAUAUAUGGAGCAUUGGCCACACCCUAUUCGCUAUAAUUUUAAGCCGCACUUUCUCCACUUUAUGUUUUUCCUUUUGGUCCGCAUUUUAUAUGCUGUGUCUUCAAUAAUUUCCUACAAUAAUUGCCUCUUGAAUAUUGAACCGAAGUUCUACGCCCUUGGUACACUAGGACACUUUCAAUGGUUGAAAAUGAUGGUAUCGGGUCAUUGACUCAGGAGGUCCUGUUGUAUGUCAGUCUUGGUAUUUAAUGAUAUGCACAAUAUGCUAUUGUAGAAGCAUUCAUAGAGGGUUUAGAAAUCUUAUGGCGUGUUUGCAUGCCAACUGUUUGAUUUUAUUGCACUGUUGGUUUGGUGGAACACCCAUCAAAUGAUCAAAAUCGCUUUCAGUAGGAGGAUUCAGAUUAAUAUUCUCAUGCACCCCUUGAUGCAUAACAAGAGACGAUUCACAGACUUUAUUUGUUUUUAUAUGUAUGAGGAGGUAUAUUUGGUGAUGUGGUACUAAAUUUGUGGUAAAAGUCUGACAACUGGCAAAUGCUAAUGUCUGGUCCCCUAACAAUUCAACAUUAAUUAGUGAGUUUUGAAGAAAAUACAUACAGAUAUAUGCACCUACCCGCUUUCCUGUUUGAUAUCUAGUGAAUGGUGGAGUUGGCACACAUCACAUCUCACUCCCUCCCCCUGUGUAUGAUAUGGCAGGGGAAAGGAUGCCACUGCCAAUUGCCAACCUAUGAGGCUCAAACAUCCUAAUAAAUUGUCCACUAAAUUAAGCUAAUCAACUUUCCAAGUUGACCUCCAUUGGUUUAUUCUAUUGACUUAUCAGUCAACAAAAAAUCUGUACAGCUAGUUUCCUUCUGAUUAUGAGUGGCUUUUUAACUAACUCACUGUUAUUAAUGUAUUAUUCUCUGCCUAGGAAAAUACAUGGGUUUUAGCACUUCAUAAUGCGUUUUGUUGACAUAGCAGUGUUGAAAAGAUCUGUCCUGAAAUCGUUUUGAUUCUAAAAAUGGGUGAUUGGGCCUCUCUUCUGGAGUAAUGUUCUGUUGUCUCUUAAAAUUUAAGCAGUAGUAGAAAUAUGGGGAUUCAAACAAAAUGGUAUCUAGGAUCCGCCUAGAUUACACUAUACCAAAGAAUUUGCACAUUUUUUAUCAUAAAAUAUUUGCACUAUCGCUCCACUAGAUUGUCUAUUUUAAUCUCCUCCCAAAUCACAAAAAGCUUCAAUAAGCAUGAGGGGGAGAAUAACUUGACCACCAUGAGAAGAUUGAAACCAAGAUAUGAUUCGUCCACAGCCAGAGUUUAUAUUCAUUUCUUAUCAUGAUUGAUCUAUAAUUCAGAUUGAAAAUCUUAAACAAAAACAUUAUUGACUAUUCUAGUUUGCUUAAUUUAACGAUCUAGAGCUAGGUUUCCUACAGUGUGAUGUAGCUCAUUUUUAUAUCAUAUGCUAUUAGUCCCUUGAAAAGCAUUGCUCCAUUAGAUGGUGGCAUAUGCUCUGUUUGGGUAGAUCUAUGAAACUGUAACGAAGUUGUUCAUCACCAACCAUUUUUAAUAAAGAAAGGAAAGAAAAUUAGGAAUGGAAAGAAAAGAGGGUUGGUGAACUUUAGGCAUGCAAGUUGCAGGAGGUGUUCAUUCAUGAUUAAUUAUUAAUUCUUUCCUGAAUCAAAUCUUUGCACAGGAUCAAGGGAAUAUGAGCUCAUAGAUUUUCCUUUUGUUUAUCUAUUUCCUCACACUUAAUUUAUGCUCCUAACAUGUCCUAAAGUUCUCAACUACACAAAGAUGGGUGCUUCUCUCCAGUAAGUGUCUCCUUUCUCUAUUAUUUGAACUCAUGUAUUUGUGUAUAUAAAUGCUAUAAAAAUACUGUUUUUUUUUUCAGGUUAUGGAUCAUAGCAUUAUUUGAUACAAAAUACUGAACCCAAGUUUUCUUUCUCUUUAUUCUUUUUAAUGUCCAAAUCGAUAUUUCAGAGUCUUUAUAGAUCCAAAUGUAGGACCAAGCAUGCUUGGAAAAGUCUGCUGUUCAACCUUUUUCAGUCAAAGGCAGAAGUGGCAUUGAAAAGGUGACCCCUCACCAACUUGUGGGUGACCAGAGGGCAGAGAGAACCCAUAAAGAGGGCUUCUCAAAGGACCACGGAUUUAAAGGGUCAUGGGAAGAAUUAUAUAUAUAUAUGGCACCAUGAGAAGAUUCUGGGAAGUUUUGCUGGCUUUCCAAGGAGACAACAACAACAAAGACAGGUAUAUUUGAUUUGCAUAUGGUCUUCACUUUAUAGUAUUCAAAGGGCUUUUGGGAGAUAUGGAUUUUACUUUAUUGAUUUAUUCAUGUACCAUCUCUCAAUCAUGCUUAAAGAUUUCAUUUGUUUACUAAUUAAAAAAUGCGUCAACCUUUUAAGGUUCUUUCUAGUAGUUGAAAG
Long non-coding RNA from Vitis riparia (riverbank grape), 3299 nucleotides. RefSeq lists it as uncharacterized. The record is from RefSeq and is a predicted model, not a curated record. The transcript is spliced from 4 exons. NCBI's taxonomy places the organism in Eukaryota, Viridiplantae, Streptophyta, Magnoliopsida, Vitales, Vitaceae.